Molecule: ribosomal RNA, 388 nt
Filed under: uncultured Nitrospina sp.
Lineage: Bacteria; Pseudomonadati; Nitrospinota; Nitrospinia; Nitrospinales; Nitrospinaceae
Description: bacterial SSU rRNA
Rfam family: Bacterial small subunit ribosomal RNA
Source: RNAcentral
GACGAACGCUGGCGGCGGGCCUAACACAUGCAAGUCGAACGCACUCGACCUUCGGGUCAUAUGAGUGAGUGGCGAACGGGUGAGUAACACGUGAGAAACCUGUCCCGAAGACUGGAAUAACCCGAGGAAACUCGGGCUAAUACCGGAUAAGACCACAUUUCAAAAGAAAUGCGGGAAAAGAAGUCUCAACCUUCACUCGAGGAUGAGUUCGCGCAACAUUAGCUUGUUGGUGGGAUAAAAGCUCACCAAGGCUACGAUGUUUAGCCGGCCUGAGAGGGUGAUCGGCCACACUGGAACUGAGACACGGUCCAGACUCCUACGGGAGGCAGCAGUGGGGAAUAUUGCGCAAUGGGCGAAAGCCUGACGCAGCAACGCCGUGUGGAGGAUG